CUCUUUCAUCCUACGGGAGGCAGCAGUGGGGAAUAUUGCACAAUGGGCGCAAGCCUGAUGCAGCCAUGCCGCGUGUAUGAAGAAGGCCUUCGGGUUGUAAAGUACUUUCAGCAGUGAGGAAGGUGGAGUCGUUAAUAGCGGCCUCAUUUGACGUUAGCUGCAGAAGAAGCACCGGCUAACUCCGUGCCAGCAGCCGCGGUAAUACGGAGGGUGCGAGCGUUAAUCGGAAUUACUGGGCGUAAAGCGCAUGCAGGUGGUUUGUUAAGUCAGAUGUGAAAGCCCGGGGCUCAACCUCGGAAUUGCAUUUGAAACUGGCAGACUAGAGUACUGUAGAGGGGGUAGAAUUUCAGGUGUAGCGGUGAAAUGCGUAGAGAUCUGAAGGAAUACCGGUGGCGAAGGCGGCCCCCUGGACAGAUACUGACACUCAGAUGCGAAAGCGUGGGGAGCAAACAGGAUUAGAUACCCUGGUAG
RNAcentral lists this ribosomal RNA (471 nucleotides) under uncultured bacterium. Its description in RNAcentral is "bacterial SSU rRNA". It matches the Rfam family "Bacterial small subunit ribosomal RNA", at positions 329 to 793 of the family's 1533-position model. The record is from RNAcentral.